This 31-nucleotide non-coding RNA is filed under the name Mus musculus (house mouse). Lineage: Eukaryota; Metazoa; Chordata; Mammalia; Rodentia; Muridae. The record is from RNAcentral.
UAGCCUUCAGAGAAGCCCUUUUAAGCUCACU